CCUGGCUCACAUUGAACGCUGGCGGCAGGCCUAACACAUGCAAGUCGAGCGGAAACGGCCGCAUUGAAGCUUCCGAGGAUUUGCUGGACGUCGAGCGGCGGACGGGUGAGUAACGGCUGGGAACCUGCCCUGACGAGGGGGAUAACCGUUGGAAACGACGGCUAAUACCGCAUAAUGUCUUAGUUCAUUACGAGCUGGGACCAAAGGUGGCCUCUACAUGUAAGCUAUCGCGUUGGGAUGGGCCCAGUUAGGAUUAGCUAGUUGGUAAGGUAAUGGCUUACCAAGGCAACGAUCCUUAGCUGGUUUGAGAGGAUGAUCAGCCACACUGGGACUGAGACACGGCCCAAACUCCUACGGGAGGCAGCAAUGGGGAAUAUUGCUCAAUGGGGGAGACCCUGAUGCAUCCAUGCCGCGUGUGGGAAGAAGGCCUUCGGGUUGUAAAGCACUUUCAUCAGUGAGGAAGGUCGUGUACUUAAUACUUGCACGGCUUGACGUUAGCUGCACAAAAACCACCGGCUAACUCCGUGCCGGCAGCCGCGGUAAUACGGAGGGUGCGAGCGUUAAUCCGAAUUACUGGGCGUAAAGCGCAUGCGGGCGGUUUGUUAAGUCAGAUGUGAAAGCCCGGCGCUCAACCUC
Molecule: ribosomal RNA, 636 nt
Filed under: uncultured bacterium
Lineage: Bacteria
Description: bacterial SSU rRNA
Rfam family: Bacterial small subunit ribosomal RNA
Source: RNAcentral